This 515-nucleotide ribosomal RNA is filed under the name uncultured bacterium. RNAcentral's name for it is "partial 16S ribosomal RNA". It matches the Rfam family "Bacterial small subunit ribosomal RNA", at positions 28 to 523 of the family's 1533-position model. The record is from RNAcentral.
GAUGAACGCUGGCGGCGUGCCUAAUACAUGCAAGUCGAGCGAAUGGAUUAAGAGUUUGCUCUUAUGAAGUUAGCGGCGGACGGGUGAGUAACACGUGGGUAACCUGCCCAUAAGACUGGGAUAACUCCGGGAAACCGGGGCUAAUACCGGAUAACAUUUUGAACCGCAUGGUUCGAAAUUGAAAGGCGGCUUCGGCUGUCACUUAUGGAUGGACCCGCGUCGCAUUAGCUAGUUGGUGAGGUAACGGCUCACCAAGGCAACGAUGCGUAGCCGACCUGAGAGGGUGAUCGGCCACACUGGGACUGAGACACGGCCCAGACUCCUACGGGAGGCAGCAGUAGGGAAUCUUCCGCAAUGGACGAAAGUCUGACGGAGCGACGCCGCGUGAGUGAUGAAGGCUUUCGGGUCGUAAAACUCUGUUGUUAGGGAAGAACAAGUGCUAGUUGAAUAAGCUGGCACCUUGACGGUACCUAACCAGAAAGCCACGGCUAACUACGUGCCAGCAGCCGCAGUAA